This 718-nucleotide ribosomal RNA is filed under the name Lysinibacillus sp. INBio2892C. RNAcentral's name for it is "bacterial SSU rRNA". It matches the Rfam family "Bacterial small subunit ribosomal RNA", at positions 50 to 746 of the family's 1533-position model. Lineage: Bacteria; Bacillati; Bacillota; Bacilli; Caryophanales; Bacillaceae. The record is from RNAcentral.
CUAUCAUGCAAGUCGAGCGAACAGAUAAGAGGAGCUUGCUCCUUUGACGUUAGCGGCGGACGGGUGAGUAACACGUGGGCAACCUACCUUAUAGUUUGGGAUAACUCCGGGAAACCGGGGCUAAUACCGAAUAAUCUAUUUCACUUCAUGGUGAAAUACUGAAAGACGGUUUCGGCUGUCGCUAUAAGAUGGGCCCGCGGCGCAUUAGCUAGUUGGUGAGGUAACGGCUCACCAAGGCGACGAUGCGUAGCCGACCUGAGAGGGUGAUCGGCCACACUGGGACUGAGACACGGCCCAGACUCCUACGGGAGGCAGCAGUAGGGAAUCUUCCACAAUGGGCGAAAGCCUGAUGGAGCAACGCCGCGUGAGUGAAGAAGGUUUUCGGAUCGUAAAACUCUGUUGUAAGGGAAGAACAAGUACAGUAGUAACUGGCUGUACCUUGACGGUACCUUAUUAGAAAGCCACGGCUAACUACGUGCCAGCAGCCGCGGUAAUACGUAGGUGGCAAGCGUUGUCCGGAAUUAUUGGGCGUAAAGCGCGCGCAGGCGGUCCUUUAAGUCUGAUGUGAAAGCCCACGGCUCAACCGUGGAGGGUCAUUGGAAACUGGGGGACUUGAGUGCAGAAGAGGAAAGUGGAAUUCCAAGUGUAGCGGUGAAAUGCGUAGAGAUUUGGAGGAACACCCAGUGGCGAAGGCGACUUUCUGGUCUGUAACUACCGC